CAGUCGCCGCGGUAAUACAGAGGAUGCAAGCGUUAUCCGGAAUGAUUGGGCGUAAAGCGUCUGUAGGUGGCUUUUCAAGUCCGCCGUCAAAUCCCAGGGCUCAACCCUGGACAGGCGGUGGAAACUACCAAGCUGGAGUACGGUAGGGGCAGAGGGAAUUUCCGGUGUAGCGGUGAAAUGCGUAGAGAUCUGGAGGAACACCGGUGGCGAAGGCGGCCCCCUGGACAAAGACUGACGCUCAGGUGCGAAAGCGUGGGGAGCAAACAGGAUUAGAUACCCGUGUAGUCCCUGUCUCUUAUAC
This 301-nucleotide ribosomal RNA is filed under the name uncultured bacterium. RNAcentral describes it as "partial 16S ribosomal RNA". It matches the Rfam family "Bacterial small subunit ribosomal RNA", at positions 509 to 807 of the family's 1533-position model. The record is from RNAcentral.